GGAUGCGAUCAUACCAGCACUAAAGCACCGGAUCCCAUCUGAACUCCGAAGUUAAACUUGCUUGGGCGAGAGUACUACUAGGAUGGCUGACCUCCUGGGAAGUCCUCGUGUUGCAUUCC
Molecule: ribosomal RNA, 119 nt
Filed under: Triticum aestivum (bread wheat)
Lineage: Eukaryota; Viridiplantae; Streptophyta; Magnoliopsida; Poales; Poaceae
Source: RNAcentral